CAUUAUUUUUAUCAAUUUAAGAUGUUUAGCGACAAGCUAAGUGAAAACAAUUAGACAUGUUUUUUUACUAAAUUAUAUUGUCCGGUAAACACAAACAAGUUGUUGUGUAAACAACAUAUGUCUAGGUAACCUGGUCAAUCAGGGUUCUUUGUCCUGUCCAGCAAAGACCUUUCCUUGCCCCUUUUUACCCCAAAAGAUCAGGGUAACCAAGAUAGCUUGAUUGUUAAACGAAUCUGAUUGUACGAACCUGAAACAGUAACGCAAA
Molecule: long non-coding RNA, 265 nt
Filed under: Mytilus galloprovincialis (Mediterranean mussel)
Lineage: Eukaryota; Metazoa; Mollusca; Bivalvia; Mytilida; Mytilidae
Source: RNAcentral